GGAAAGGGUGUGGCUCAGUAGAGCAGCUGCUUGCUAUGCAGAAGGUCCCAGGUUCAAUUCCCAGCAUCUCCA
Molecule: transfer RNA, 72 nt
Filed under: Sphaerodactylus townsendi
Lineage: Eukaryota; Metazoa; Chordata; Lepidosauria; Squamata; Sphaerodactylidae
Description: tRNA-Ser
Rfam family: tRNA
About the family: Transfer RNA (tRNA) molecules are approximately 80 nucleotides in length.
Source: RNAcentral